Molecule: RNase P RNA, 297 nt
Filed under: Methanobacteriota archaeon
Lineage: Archaea; Methanobacteriati; Methanobacteriota
Description: Euryarchaeota archaeon (freshwater metagenome) RNase P RNA component
Rfam family: Archaeal RNase P
About the family: Ribonuclease P (RNase P) is a ubiquitous endoribonuclease, found in archaea, bacteria and eukarya as well as chloroplasts and mitochondria. Its best characterised activity is the generation of mature 5'-ends of tRNAs by cleaving the 5'-leader elements of precursor-tRNAs.
Source: RNAcentral
AGGAGCCGGCGGGCGACCGACGGUGCCCGAAAGGGCGCUGAGGAAAGUCCCCCCUCCGCAGGGCGAGGCGGUCCGGCGCAAGCCGGAGGGGCGAGAGCCCCGGUUAACGCGCAGAAACGACACAGCCGCGCGGGAGCGAGGAUGCGGGUCGCCGCGGAGCUGAGAACGCGCGGAUAUGGUGAAACGGCCUUCCCCGCCGGAGCAAGCCCGAGGGUGCGCCAUGACCUGCCCGGGAGCGCCGAGUGGGGCGCGCAGUCGAAUGUCGCCGAAACAGAAGGGGGCUUAUGACCGGCGCCU